Molecule: long non-coding RNA, 2732 nt
Organism: Columba livia (rock pigeon)
Lineage: Eukaryota; Metazoa; Chordata; Aves; Columbiformes; Columbidae
Exons: 2
Source: RefSeq, a predicted model, not a curated record
UGAGGGACCAAAGUUAAAGACAAAACUGAAAAAAUCUAAUAAAAUCUCUGGAACUCCAAAGAUGGAAUAAACACAGAAUUAUCUUCUAUAAUGUCUUUUAAAAUGCCUUGUCUUCACUUCCUUUCUUUCACCCACAGAGAAGCAGCAUCAUUCACACAUUUGCAACUGUAGCUAUUCCAAGCAUAAAUUCAAUUAUUCAUAGAAUUAAUUUAUUAAUUGAAUCUGGUAAAUUUAUCUUCACUAAAUUAAUGAUUCUUAUUUUCUUAGAACAAACUGCUAUCACAAGCGGUUUUGGUUUCUAGCUGGUUAACAUACACCUCCUGUUUCCUCAGCUAACAUUUGCUUCUGAAUACUUGGAGAUGCUCCAGUGACAAAGAAUUGAUUUUACUUUCAACUUUUGCCUGUCAUUUCAAUUAGACUAACAUGCCAGAGACUUUCAUUACACAAAAAGAAAAAAGGGAGCUUUGUCAGCAAAGAGAAGAUUAAACAAUUGAAAUAAGAAACACUUUAAAGGAAUGUCAGCUUGAUGCAUAUUGGUCUUCUCAUGUGCCAUUAUGAAACACAUAUUUCUUUUUUAUCCCAAAAGAAGUAACAGGCGUGCUUAAGGGAUUUUAUUUCGAACAGCUUUUUUUUGUUUGGUUCAAAGAUGAUGGGUUGAUAUUUCUUCUGUCUUUAGCACACUGCCUAGGAAGCACAUACGGGGCUGGGAUUCUAAAAGGACAGCAAGGGCCAUGAAGAAUAAAAAGAAAUCGAAGUUCUGUAUCAGGUUGCAGUCAAUCUGCUUUUCCAACCAGGCAACAGCAAGAGAUGCUGAGGAACAGCCACUGCAGGGAGCAUCUCUGAUGCAACUUCAACUCUAUUGUGUACAUUGUAUGCUUUGAAAUAGUAUGCCAUCUCCUGGCAUUUCUGACUCCUUUAGAAAGCAAUUAGAUAGGCAACAUGCAGAAACUCUGAAGCCUCUGACUGUUUUUUUGUUUUGUUUGUUGUGUUUUUCAGCCCAGCCUGGGAAAACUUCUAAAGGGUGCUUUAGAAGAAAAAUAUGUUUGCAAUAGUUUUCCAAGCAAUCAGGGAAUUUCCCAAGCAAGGGAAGUAAGGUAACAGGUAACAUUUACUGUACACUGAAAGAUUAUUCAGCCAAAGCAAGUCUGCACCUUGCCUGACACUGCAUCUACACAACUGCUGAUGUAAAAUAGGUGCACUGAAGAUCUGUAUCUCCUCAUUCUCUGCAAGUUGCAAGAAAACUUGGAGAUGAACUGCACAAGCCGUAUGAAGACUGAAGUACAAAGAGUGAAAGAGAUGAACAGACUGUUGGUGCUGCAAACAACCACCAGCCCUGGACCAGUUUUCAGGAUGACUCUGGAUGCCACUUUGGUCAUAUGAUGGCUUCUGUUCAGGACUUGCUGUUUUGGCUCAUGUUUGGAAACCUGACAUCUAUUUUUUGCUCAGCAUUAUUGAAGAAAACUGUUGUAAACAGAACCUGUGCACAAACCAGAAUGCAACUUCCGUACAAAAUGUUAUCUUUUUUUUUGUUAUCUUUUUUUUUUUUUUUUUUUUCUUAAAUGCAGAACUGAAAUGUUAGAAAAUGCAAGAUGGAAGUUUUGUUGGAAACAGCAGAGGCAGCUCCUUGUCUUCCCAUCUGCAGGAAAAACUUUCAAACCCAUUUCUGGGAGUUAUGCCUGGAAGACAGCCUCCUGCCUGCAGUUCCAGGUAUACCAUGCAGUCAAGAAAUCUGUUGCUUGGGAGCCACUGAGGUACACCUGCUCGUCCCUUUGCAGCAGCUCACAGAGAGUCCAUCAGCCUCCUCAGGCUCAUGAUCAGGGAAGCAUCAUGUCAUGUCACAGACUGGUACCCACAGGAAGGUCAGGAGACCACCCCCUGGGCUGCCAGGAGUCCUUCUGCCUCAUUUGUUGGCUCCAAGAAAUCACCAGGUUUGUCCAAAGCAUUUCAAUCAAUGCACAAAUUGUACCACAUCAUCUGGUCCUGAGUGCUCUGUCCUUUAUGUGGUACAGAAGGGAAUGGGAUGAAUUCAAACAUGCUGAAAUACACUGCAACUGGCACCAAGGACUUAUUGUUAGACUAUAUUGUUGUACCUGGAUGUGAGGCUAGGUAGUGAGACAAAACCACAGUUCUAUGAAAAAAUCAAUAUCAAAUUUGUUUCAGUAGGGCUUUGUGAGGAGAUCUUUUAAAAAUCGUACAAGCCAGCACAUCAUCAGAAUUAAUUUCUACUCUGUCACAUCUCUCCUGAGAACUGCUCUAUGACAAAAAUAAGAUAGGCAAAAAAUGUAAAGUUGACAAAGUAAUUAAAAGAAUGAAUGUGUUGUGUUUGGGAGCUGGUAACAAAGCUGUGAAAUAACUAUGAAAAAGCUGUAAACAGUACAUAUGAUAUAUUAGAAAAAGGCGUAUUUUAAAUACUAUUCAAAAUAAUUUUUUUAAUAACCCCAUAAUUAUACAUUAGUUCUGUGCUAUAUAAAGAACGAGAAUUAAUAAACAUAAAUAUCCUCAUGCUGUAAAAAGUACUGUAUAGACACAGUGAUAAACACUGCUUGUAGUACAAAAAUCAAUGAACAUAUAGUUUAAAUUCAACCUUACAGAUUCUGCUGACUCUAAAUAAACUUCCACUCAAUAGUAACUUAAUCUACUUAGCCAACUUUUUUCAGUUACCUCUCUCCUCAUUUAAAGAGACUUUCAGCAUCUCUUUAAUCAUUAAAGCCUCUACAAUGUGUAACAAUAAA